Long non-coding RNA from Aethalodelphis obliquidens (Pacific white-sided dolphin), 788 nucleotides. RefSeq lists it as uncharacterized. The record is from RefSeq and is a predicted model, not a curated record. Lineage: Eukaryota; Metazoa; Chordata; Mammalia; Artiodactyla; Delphinidae. The transcript is spliced from 3 exons.
CUGGGGCCAAGGGGCGGUCCGUACUGCUCCCGCAGAGCCAGGCCGGGCCCACACCCGCCACCCCGGACCCCGCCCUCCGACCCUCGACCCCGGACCCGCCCUCCGGUCCUAGACCCCGACCCCCACCUCCUGACCUCGGCCCUCCGGAUUCUGACUCCCUCUCCGACUCAGGGCCCCGGCCUCUGGACUCGGAUCCCGCCCUCCGACCCCCGACCCGGAUCCCGCCCUCAGAUCCCUGCCCUCGGACCUGGACCCCGACCCAGCCCUGGCUCUCCGGCUCCGGACCUUGACCCCUGACCCCGGAUCCCGCCCUCUGGUCCUGGACCUGGCCCUCCGAGCCCAGACCCCCGACCCCGCCCUCGCCCUCCGGACCCGGACCCCGGCCUUCCGCAGCCCCACCGGCCCUGCCCGGCAGAUAAAGUGGACCUUAGGCAGCUGAGGAGGCUCCCACACGAUGCGGGGACGGGGAAGAACGUGCCUUUUCCACUCUCUGGACUUUCAUUCUAGGUGUUCCAUUGGUCUUCUGAGGUGACAUGUGGACCUUUUUUCUCGUGUCAAACUAGUCUUGGGAUCUUUCAGCAUAAUCGCUACAACUAAGAUGCCAGAAAGUGAUCAAAAUAUCCCAGACAAGCUGUGGAUGGGCUGCCUGACAUGAAGGAAUCUAGCCAUUUCAGGUCCUCCUCCACCCUCGCAAUCACUCUCUACUGAGCAGUAGACCAGCUUCUUCCCCCACCGCCAAGUACGCGGGCCUCUCACUGUUGUGGCCUCUCCCAUCGCGGAGCACAGGC